GGCUCAAUGGUCUAGUCGUAUGAUUCCUGCUUCGGGUUUCCCGGUUGUUUUAUGCGACCUCGUUAAUGCAGGAGGUCGCGGGUUCAAUUCCCGCUUGAGCCC
Non-coding RNA from Panus rudis PR-1116 ss-1, 102 nucleotides. NCBI's taxonomy places the organism in Eukaryota, Fungi, Basidiomycota, Agaricomycetes, Polyporales, Panaceae. The record is from the annotation of a GenBank genome assembly.